UGCCUUAGUAACGGCGAGUGAAGCGGCAAAAGCUCAAAUUUGAAAUCUGGUACCUUCGGUGCCCGAGUUGUAAUUUGGAGAGGGCAACUUUGGGGCCGUUCCUYGUCUAUGUUCCUUGGAACAGGACGUCAUAGAGGGUGAGAAUCCCGUGUGGCGAGGAGUGCGGUUCUUUGUAAAGUGCCUUCGAAGAGUCGAGUUGUUUGGGAAUGCAGCUCUAAGUGGGUGGUAAAUUCCAUCUAAAGCUAAAUAUUGGCGAGAGACCGAUAGCGAACAAGUACAGUGAUGGAAAGAUGAAAAGAACUUUGAAAAGAGAGUGAAAAAGUACGUGAAAUUGUUGAAAGGGAAGGGCAUUUGAUCAGACAUGGUGUUUUGUGCCCUCUGCUCCUUGUGGGUAGGGGAAUCUCGCAUUUCACUGGGCCAGCAUCAGUUUUGGUGGCAGGAUAAAUCCAUAGGAAUGUAGCUUGCCUCGGUAAGUAUUAUAGCCUGUGGGAAUACUGCCAGCUGGGACUGAGGACUGCGACGUAAGUCAAGGAUGCUGGCAUAA
RNAcentral lists this ribosomal RNA (544 nucleotides) under Saccharomyces cerevisiae (brewer's yeast). RNAcentral describes it as "eukaryotic LSU rRNA". It matches the Rfam family "Eukaryotic large subunit ribosomal RNA", at positions 76 to 634 of the family's 3401-position model. Lineage: Eukaryota; Fungi; Ascomycota; Saccharomycetes; Saccharomycetales; Saccharomycetaceae. The record is from RNAcentral.